AAUGACAUUCCAGAGCUCAGGUUUAAAAAUGCAAGUUUUCAUAUGUAACAAGAUGAAUCUGUGUUGGCAGUAGAGUCUAUGUUGAGGUGACAACCAGUGGCACCAGGAGCAUCACCAUCACCAACAACACUGUCACCAACACCAUCAUCAGCACCACCAGCAUCAUCACCAUUGCCACAUCCCCUUCUCUCACCACCAGCAUCACCAUCACCACCACUGUCAUCAAAGUCACCACCUUCACCAUCAUCCUCACCAUCCCCACUAUGGCCAUCACCAGCACCACACCAAUACCACCAACACCAAUGUCACCACCAGUAUCACCAUCAUCAACAGUCACCAACAUCACCACCAUCACCAACACCCUCACCACCGCAGAAGUCACCCCCACCUCAAAGCAGGUGUCAGGAAGCCAUUCUUUUUGUCUCCUAGCUACAGCCUUGGUCCAGCAAGCCUGGCUUCUCCACCCCUCUCUCCACCCUGGGCUGAAGGGGACAUGGCUAUGACAGUGAGGGAAGUGCUGGCUUGCUUGGGAACCAAGAGGAUUCUGGGUUUGAUUCUCUGGCUUCUCUGUAAGCGGCCUCAGAUGUAUUCUGUGCUGGCUGCCACCCGGUUGACCAUCUAUAGAUGGCAAGCCCAGGUCCUGGACUAUGGGAAGGUAGAGGAGGGUCUGUUCAUUGUAGGUCUAGGACCCUUGAGGUGUCUGAGCGUUGGGGUUAACGUGAAUCCCUCCUACUGCCGUGGCUUGUGAGACCACUUCGGGGAGAGGGAGAUCUGAGGACCUGGGUCCACUGUGCUCACCUUCCUGUCUUUGGAGAGAAGGAAGAGAAAGUCCCUCUGGAAGUAGAUAGGGCUAGUGGUCCUGACUGCCCCACACCAGGUCCCAAGAGAGACAGCAGGAAUGGCAGCUUCACUUCCAGAAGCCGCAACACAGGGGAGCCACCAUUUCCAGCUCCUUCCUGAAAUACCAGUUUUUCAGUGUUUUGUUCACUGUUCUGUCCCCAGAACCUGGUACAAGGCGUGGCACAUAGUACAUACUCAAUAAAUAUUUGUCAGAUUAAUGAGAAAAGGGAUGAGAUGCCCCUCUCCACUGCAAGUGUAAGCGAAGAGAUAGGGUCUGCAUCAUAAAGUUAAUUCAAAGGAUCUGAUCUGAUAAGGUGUGAAGGGGGAACUUUUGCAAAAAUAUUAAUUUUGUCUUGUGCACUAGAGAGACUGUGAAAAUUAAUAACUGGCUCCAACUUGUCCUAUUCCCUAUUAAUAAAUAUGGCUCAGAGGCGACUUCAACAAAAGUGUUUUCUAACAUGCCCAAAACUAUAGAAAUUGUGGUUAUGUCCAGUGACUAAUUCCCACCAUAAGAAGGUUUUUGCCCUGAUGGGUUGUCUUCAUUGAUCAUUUGCUGCCCUGAGGAUGACAUGCUGCGUGUAAACUCUAUAAAUACAGGUAAGCUUUCUCAUCAGAGCAGAAGAUCAAUAGCCCUUUCCUCUUUUCCCAUAUGCAUGAUGGGAAAUUAAAUCCCAUGACUCUGAUGCAUUAAUUAUUUUACAAACAAAUCUAGCAAGCCCAUGGCUGAGUUAAAUUAACAAAUGGUUCCAGGACCACAGAUGCCUGAACUUCAGGAUGGCAGAGAGUUGAAGGUGGCGACCCCUGCUGGCUGCCCAAACACACGCACGAGGGAGAGUUACCUCCACGGGUCAAGCCAGUGAGGUCAAGUACUGUCCAUUUAAGAAGGACCUGGUGGACGUCCUGGAGGUCAGAGGUCAUGACAUCCCACUUGAGAGAAAGUUCUGGAAGGCUGCAAUCACAGCCUAUGCACCUUUGGUUGGGUCCCAGGAGCGCCAGAGAGAUUGGCAACACUCCAGACAGGUGCCGUUCCCUCGGCCGGGGUCACAAGGAUGAUGUGGAGCAGAGCCCUGAGGAGACCCGCAAUGGACCAAUAACAUUGGCAAGUAACUUAAACCUUUGUUGCGUGACGCCACUGAGAUUCUGGGGUUGUUUCUUACUGCAGCAUAACUCAGCCUAUCCUGACUGAUACAGUUGCCAGUUCUCAGUAAAGCCUGAAAUGUGGAGGGCUUAAAGGAAUGA
Molecule: long non-coding RNA, 2079 nt
Organism: Diceros bicornis minor
Lineage: Eukaryota; Metazoa; Chordata; Mammalia; Perissodactyla; Rhinocerotidae
Exons: 3
Source: RefSeq, a predicted model, not a curated record